GGGAGAUUUGGAAUAAAGGGAACAGCUGGUAGGUGGAAGAGAAGCUACGAAACAGUUCUAUUUAGCAAGGGGGAAAAACAGAAAAAAAAAAACGGUUUGCUAAUAUUCUACAGCUUGAGGACGAAAAUUAUGAAGUAUUUUGGUUUGCAGAAAUGGAAUUGUGGGAUGCGUGUGCAGAUGGAUAAUUACAGAUUUGUAUUCACUGAUUGUAAAAAGAGAUAGGCGUGAAAGUGCAAAUGUGAAUGGCUGUGAAUGCGAGAGAGCUGUCCUAAUGUGAACAUAAGAGAGGGUACAGUGAUUCUUGUUGGCAGCAGUUAAGAAUAUGAAGACUGUGAACGCCCCUUGUCCAUCGGGAAUUACUUCUAAAGUGCAUAAGAUGUAGGGCAUAUUAGGAUACAGCCUUGUCACCAUUUAAUUAAUAAGGUCCAGAAAAAAUGUG
This is a long non-coding RNA of Octopus sinensis (East Asian common octopus), 439 nucleotides long. RefSeq lists it as uncharacterized. The transcript is spliced from 3 exons. The record is from RefSeq and is a predicted model, not a curated record. NCBI's taxonomy places the organism in Eukaryota, Metazoa, Mollusca, Cephalopoda, Octopoda, Octopodidae.